GCAUCUAUAGCCCAAUUGGUAGAGGCACUGGAUUUAGGUUCCAGUCAGUGAUGAGUUCGAAUCUCUCUAGAUGUACCA
RNAcentral lists this transfer RNA (78 nucleotides) under Klebsiella phage vB_KpM_FBKp34. Its description in RNAcentral is "tRNA-Leu". It matches the Rfam family "tRNA". Rfam says of the family: Transfer RNA (tRNA) molecules are approximately 80 nucleotides in length. Their secondary structure includes four short double-helical elements and three loops (D, anti-codon, and T loops). The record is from RNAcentral. Lineage: Duplodnaviria; Heunggongvirae; Uroviricota; Caudoviricetes.